CCAAACAACGCCCGAAGCGACCAUCGUAAACCUUCUAAACGACAGAAAUGUUUAGAAAGAUGUAACGAGAUAUAAAUAAAGGAAGAAAAUACUUGAUUUAAAUAUAAAUAAAUAGAAAAUUAAAUAAAACUACUGUUGAAAGAAAAAUUAUGAAAAAGAGGCGAGGAUGUUGCGCCUUACUCCAUCUCCGAGAAGAUAACGCCCGUUUCAUUCUCUUAUUUAUUCUCAUGAUUUUCUAUACGCUCUGUGGAGCAGGAUUGUUUAUGUUACUCGAACGCGAUAACGAGAUUAAAGAAGGGAAUAAAUAUUAUCGAAGGUAUGAAAAGUUUCUAGAGGAUAAUCAUGAAGUUAAUAAGACGGAGUUGGAUAUUUUACUUCGGUUGCACGCUGAAGCGGAUAGGACCGGGGUUUUGAAUGAUAAGCGGCCUAGAUGGGAUUUUGCGGGUGCUUUCUAUUUUGUCGGAACAGUUGUUUCAACAAUAGGCUUUGGCAUGACGACCCCUAGAACGACACCUGGGAAAGUUCUCCUCAUUUUUUACGGAAUUAUUGGCUGCUCAGGAGCUAUUUUAUUCUUUAAUCUGUUCCUUGAACGAAUUAUCACAUUUUUAGCUUAUAUCCUCCGAGCCAUCCAUGAUAUGGAAUUACGAAGAAAGGGUCUUUGGUCUGAAAGACGAAGAGGUUCUCAAGUUUCCGACGAUGAUUCGCUAGAUUCUUGGAAACCGUCUGUGUAUUGGGUUCAACUGAUUUUGUUACUAUCUGCCUGUACAGUAGCUUGUUGUGCUUCGGCCAUGUAUUAUCCCGUUGAAGAAUGGAGCUACUUUGAAUCAAUUUACUUUUGUUUUGUCGCUUUUGCUACAAUUGGUUUCGGCGACUAUGUCGUCUCGCAAAAAGCAACUUAUCAGCGCGUCCAUUUGUACAGAUUUGGUAAUUUCGUAUUUCUAGUAAUUGGAUGUUGCUGUGUUUAUUCUCUAGUCAACGUGACGUCAAUAGUGAUAAAGCAAGUGCUCAACUGGAUUAUCAAAAGGCUCGACUGUGCCGAUUGUACGUGCUGGUUAAAGCGGCAGAAUAAAGCCAGGGGUAGGAGGAACGCCAUAACGCCAGGCGCCGCUAAAAACAGGCAUAGAGACUUGGAAGUAGAUUCAAAUUAUGAUUCCGAGCUUGGAUCCAGAAGGGGAAGCAAUGAAAUGAUAUCAAUGAAAGAUUUCUUGCAAGCCAACAAAAUAUCAUUAGCCAUGAUGCAGAAGCAGUUAGCAGAAACUGCAAAUCGACACCAUCACAGGGAAUCCAACGGUUUACAGGGAGGUGUUGGUCCACUGGCUAUUCUCAAUAAGAAACUAGGUCAAGAGGACGCUUAGAAUAAGUUCUCUACGCCAAAUCGUAUCAAUUACACAAACGUUUUACGCCGGAUAUCGUUAAUUGAGAGUCAACAAAACUUUUCAAUGUACUUGUUAGCCAACAGUUGGCUAUUCCACGAAAAACAAUACUCUUCUUAAGUAGAUUUCUUAAUGUUAGAAAAAAACAACAACUUUAUUAAUUUAUUUCUCAUUUUACUACGCAGUCGCUUUCUUCUUGGAAACGCUAAACGAUUAACGGGACGCUACUGAUAGAGAGAUCUAGAAUGAGUGAGAGACGGCGUUGCUCUAAUUUAUCCUCUCUAUCAACUGUAAAUGUGAAAAUGGCUCCAAUUCUUCGCGGGAAAUUGAACCCAAUAAAUGAGGUCAUAUUGAUAUCUGUUAGCUUGACAUUCAAGCAAAACAGCAGAGGUGGAAAACACUGUAAACACAAACAUCUCAACCUGUUAGUCAAACUCUCGAUAAUAUAUAACAUUUAAUCGGAUAAAUACACCUCCCGCAAAGCUCGUCAGAAAGAGAAGGGGAGAAGAGAAAGAAACAUAAAAAAUGGUUAAACGAUGGAAUAAAAAGACGAAAUAAGACAAAGGCCUAAAAUUGGGAAUUUUCCAUUCUCUUUUGUUUGUAAAUAGAAGAAUAUUGAUAAAAAAGUGCCCAAGAAUGAAAUAGAUGGAAAAUUUAAGAUCAAUUGAUCUAUUCAUUUUAACUAUCUUUGUCCUCUUUUAAUAGCGAAAUCAAGUAGUUUUAGAAGUGGAGCGGAAAUAAUUUCUAAUCGGUUAUCAAUUAAACGUUGGUGUUUUCAUUGUCAGCUCGAUUGAAUCAUAAUCAUUAUAAUAAUCUAAAGUACUUAACAAAUUAUCUUAAACAUUCUGC
RNAcentral lists this unclassified non-coding RNA (2222 nucleotides) under Dimorphilus gyrociliatus. RNAcentral describes it as "dgyrCDS9105". The record is from RNAcentral. Lineage: Eukaryota; Metazoa; Annelida; Polychaeta; Dinophilidae.